RNAcentral lists this ribosomal RNA (532 nucleotides) under uncultured fungus. Its description in RNAcentral is "eukaryotic LSU rRNA". The stretch from base 185 to 338 matches the Rfam family "5.8S ribosomal RNA". Lineage: Eukaryota; Fungi. The record is from RNAcentral.
AAGUCGUAACAAGGUUUCCGUAGGUGAACCUGCGGAAGGAUCAUUACCUAGAGUUGCGGGCUUUGCCUGCUAUCUCUUACCCAUGUCUUUUGAGUACUUACGUUUCCUCGGUGGGUUCGCCCGCCGAUUGGACAAUUUAAACCAUUUGCAGUUGCAAUCGGCGUCUGAAAAACUUAAUAGUUACAACUUUCAACAAUGGAUCUCUUGGCUCUGGCAUCGAUGAAGAACGCAGCGAAAUGCGAUAAGUAGUGUGAAUUGCAGAAUUCCGUGAAUCAUCGAAUCUUUGAACGCACAUUGCGCCCCUCGGUAUUCCGGGGGGCAUGCCUGUUCGAGCGUCAUUUACACCUUCAAGCUCUGCUUGGUGUUGGGCGUCUGUCCCGCCUUCGUGUGUGGACUCGCCUCAAAGUGAUUGGCGGCUGGUACGAUGGCCUGGAGUGCAGCAGAAUUGCGCUCUUUGUCUUGAGUCUAGCUCCCAGAAACUACUUUUUCACUUUUUGACCUCGAAUCAGGUAGGGAUACCCGCUGAACUUAA